Rhipicephalus microplus (southern cattle tick) is the source of this 383-nucleotide long non-coding RNA. The record is from RefSeq and is a predicted model, not a curated record. Lineage: Eukaryota; Metazoa; Arthropoda; Arachnida; Ixodida; Ixodidae.
GAAACAUCAAACACCCCUUUCUCCAACAGAGUGAGUCCGCACCAGUAACCCAUACACUCCAGUUGAAGGAAGUGUUACUUAGGAACAUUUUAUAUGCCUUGAUUGCUAGCGGAAAGGAAUAUGGCAAAUGCUACCAAGAGGGCACUUGUUAGAACGUCCACCUUUCUGCUUUUGUUAGCUCAUGCUCUUGGUGAAGUGAGCCACCGGUUUGACGACAACGUCCUCGAUACUUUCGACAUAUUGCGAUUUUUCGACCGUGGCGUAGCCAUAUACGACGUGGACGGUGAUGGAGACCUCGACUGCGUUACUGCUGUUCGAACCGAAUUUAUUGAGGAACCCCUAGGAGCAACAUAUGUUCUGCUCUUCAAAGGCCUUGGCGGGAA